AUACGGAGGGUGCAAGCGUUAUUCGGAAUCACUGGGCGUAAAGGACGCGUAGGUGGGUUGGCAAGUCAGAUGUGAAAUCCUACAGCUUAACUGUAGAACUGCAUUUGAAACUGCUAACCUAGAGUAUGGGAGGGGGAGAUGGAAUUAGUGGUGUAGGGGUAAAAUCCGUAGAUAUCACUAGGAAUACCGAAAGCGAAGGCGAUCUCCUGGAACAUAACUGACGCUAAGGCGUGAAAGCGUGGGGAGCAAACAGGAUUAGAAACCCUUGUAGUCC
This 274-nucleotide ribosomal RNA is filed under the name uncultured bacterium. RNAcentral's name for it is "partial 16S ribosomal RNA". It matches the Rfam family "Bacterial small subunit ribosomal RNA", at positions 523 to 796 of the family's 1533-position model. The record is from RNAcentral.